Brachypodium distachyon (stiff brome) is the source of this 136-nucleotide non-coding RNA. The record is from Rfam. Lineage: Eukaryota; Viridiplantae; Streptophyta; Magnoliopsida; Poales; Poaceae.
AAGUUACUCCGUCUGUCUAACAAAAGAUGUCUCAAGUUUGUCAAAAUUUGUAUGUACCUAAACAUGAAUUAGUGUAUAGAUGCAUUCAAAUUUAGUCAAAGUUGAGAUAUCCUUUGUUGGACGGAAGGAGUACAAU